UCCUUCUUAGCUCAGUUGGUAGAGCGCGUCACUAGUACCAUUGAUUGUGUGUUAUGACGAGGUCAGUCGUUCGAGUCGGCUAGAAGGAA
Panaeolus papilionaceus is the source of this 89-nucleotide non-coding RNA. The record is from the annotation of a GenBank genome assembly. Lineage: Eukaryota; Fungi; Basidiomycota; Agaricomycetes; Agaricales.